UUGAAACCUGUGGAUGCUAUAUGAUAUUCUCAAGCUCCAUCAAGAAUUUCUUCUUCUUCUUCUUCUUCUUCUUUCUUUCUUCUUUUUUUCCGCUGCUAUGUGAAGUUGAAACUGCUCCCACCACCACCAUUAGCCUAUUAGUCACCAUCUACAGACUACAGUAACGGGAAAGUAGUCCCUGACCGAAAGCCAACUCAGUUCCAUUCAUUUUCUCAAGUUCUGACACAUCAAAGUCAACUCAUACUUACAACUCUAAAUCUAAUCUCCACCAUAAAUUCCCUUUCCCUUCCACCCAAAUGCCCAACUGCACCCACCACUGCCAUCUUCCAUUCCUUUUAACCAUAUCUCUAAAUCUUCCUUUUUCCUCCUCCCUAGUAGUUUUAGCAUAUAUGUAUCUUACUUUCCUAUUGAUUCUUGAAGGAAUACCCAAAAGUAAGCAGAUGUAAGGAAUAAAAAGUAAAGGAAAAAAGAAAAGAUGCCACCUAGUUUAAAAGGUUAUGGUUAAUAGUUAUGACACAUCGCUUUGUGGCCAAGGCCGCCACCAGAUAUGUCCUACCAUGGAUGUGUGGCAGUGGCAGUGGCAGUGUUUAUAGAUCUCACCAGUAGAGUUGAAUUAGAGAAAGAACAAGCUGAGUAGGCUGCCAGAGAUUAAGGAAAGGAAAGAGGCAACAUCUGUACGUGUAAUAUGUGUGGAUCCAACGUGGAUGGCUAAUCUUUGAUAUAUAAGGUCCGCCACCGCCAGCAAAUUUCUUCAAUAACUUUACUGAAACUGCGCUGCCUUUGUUAGAAACAAAAACUAAUGUUUGUUGUAUUCAAUUCAAAACUGAUAAUGAUAUUCUCGAAAAAAAUCAGCCGUCGUUUUAGCUGUAGA
Molecule: long non-coding RNA, 871 nt
Organism: Ricinus communis (castor bean)
Lineage: Eukaryota; Viridiplantae; Streptophyta; Magnoliopsida; Malpighiales; Euphorbiaceae
Exons: 2
Source: RefSeq, a predicted model, not a curated record